GACGAACGCUGGCGGCGUGCUUAACACAUGCAAGUCGAACGGUGAUGCUCCAGCUUGCUGGAGUGGAUCAGUGGCGAACGGGUGAGUAACACGUGAGCAACCUGCCCCAGACUCUGGAAUAAGCGCUGGAAACGGCGUCUAAUACUGGAUACGAAACUGGCCCGCAUGGGCAUGGUUUGGAAAGUUUUUCGGUUUGGGAUGGGCUCGCGGCCUAUCAGCUUGUUGGUGAGGUAAUGGCUCACCAAGGCGACGACGGGUAGCCGGCCUGAGAGGGCGACCGGCCACACGGGGACUGAGACACGGCCCAGACUCCUACGGGAGGCAGCAGUGGGGAAUAUUGCACAAUGGGCGAAAGCCUGAUGCAGCGACGCCGCGUGAGGGAUGACGGCCUUCGGGUUGUAAACCUCUUUCAGCAGGGAAGAAGCGAAAGUGACGGUACCUGCAGAAGAAGCACCGGCUAACUACGU
Molecule: ribosomal RNA, 467 nt
Filed under: uncultured bacterium
Lineage: Bacteria
Description: partial 16S ribosomal RNA
Rfam family: Bacterial small subunit ribosomal RNA
Source: RNAcentral